AAAUACAUAAAUAUAAAAGCUUUUCUAAAAGUGCUCAUGUCUACAGGACUCUUCUUAAAGGAAUUCUAAAAAGGGAAACUCAGGAAUGCCUACCUGACUGUCCCAGAGAACUGCCAUCCAAAGGAGCAGCCUACAGCAGCACAAGCAUUUCAUCUUCUGGAUUUGUGGAGACGUGGGAUUUGUUGAUGCUGAAGGCAGGAGGAAGUCAAUAGAGAAAAAAAGAAUUCUGGGAGUGUUUAAACUGUCUCCCAAUAGAUCUGUGUAUGGCAGAGAAAGGAUCCCUAUGACAUUUCAUACAACUAGAAGUGAAGAUUUUAAUUCAGCUUUCACAAGAUAUGAUUUCUGCAUUCAGAUACUUCCACAUACUAGCAUACAGAUUUUCCAGAGUGAUCUCCAAGUUGUAAUGGACAACCUUUUUCCUGCCAGCAGAGCCCAGAGAGGAAUAAACCAAGACCACCAGCUAAGUCAUUGCGUAAUGUGCUAUGGAUAUGAGCAUUGAAUGCCCUCAGGUAUUGUGUUUAAAUGAAAGGCUUUCGCCAAAAAAAGGAAAAGAGAUGCAUAUAAAAAGGAUGUUAAGUAUAUCAUUUUCUUCUUUUAGAAAACUGGAAUUUUUACAAGAAUGUUGCAAAAAAAUUUUAUGAGAAAUAUCCAACAAAAUGUCCACUUCACGAUGUCAUUUGCUUCAAGUUUCCAAAAAUCAUUAAAAACAAUUACACUAAUUGUAAGCUAUAAAAUUUACUAUAUGAUGAUUAUUAUGCAAGAACUAAUAUAUAUGUAAAAUAUCAUAAAGCUCAGUAGACUGCUGAAAUAUCCAUUCCUCUGGUUUUGACAAAUGCAAUUUUUCAGGGAUGAAUCUACACUGCAUAGUAUUGCAGAGAUCAUUUUCCUAGCCCAUCACUUUGACUGUCAAAUAUAAAACUCUUUUUCUAUCUGAUAUAAGCAGCUUGUCUUCACUUUCAAAGCCAUUCAUAGCUUCCCCUCAUCCUACCUAUCAUCUCUCAUUCAGGAUCAAGAAACCACUUCUUUCACUGAUUAGCCCAUGAUGCCAGCCUCCUCCAUCUAUUUCUUAGACUUUCAGUCAUUCCAUUUCAAACUUUAUCCAAUGCCAUGCCUUACAUGUGGGUAGAGCUCCUUUAGACAUCUGCGAAGCUACCUCAUUAUCUUCCUUCUAAUCCCAUCUGUGACGCUUCCCUUCCAUCAUGCCUUCAAAAGAAGUUUCAGAGUUUGGACUGUAUUUAUCUAGUCAUAAUGAGCAGCUCCCCCCCCGCCCCAAAAAAAAGAAAGAUUUCUGGAUCAAAUUUGAGUAGAUCAUUCCCAAAGAUAAGAAGGCUAGUAUUUCCUACUGAGAUGCAGCACUGUUGUUUCUGUAUGGUUACUAGUGCCUUGUUUUCAAAGACACUGCCUUGCUGUUUCAGGGGGGGUAAAUAUUUCUGCUAGAAAACAGAAUAGAAUGAAUUUAAGGGUGAUCUGUCUGGAUUAUAGGAGCAAUUGAGGUAGUC
RNAcentral lists this long non-coding RNA (1499 nucleotides) under Phasianus colchicus (ring-necked pheasant). RNAcentral describes it as "lncRNA (ENSPCLG00000007154.1)". Lineage: Eukaryota; Metazoa; Chordata; Aves; Galliformes; Phasianidae. The record is from RNAcentral.